Molecule: ribosomal RNA, 396 nt
Filed under: uncultured bacterium
Lineage: Bacteria
Description: partial 16S ribosomal RNA
Rfam family: Bacterial small subunit ribosomal RNA
Source: RNAcentral
AUACGUAGGGGGCGAGCGUUGUCCGGAAUGAUUGGGCGUAAAGGGCGCGUAGGCGGCCCGGUAAGUCUGGAGUGAAAGUCCUGUUUUUAAGAUGGGAAUUGCUUUGGAUACUGUCGGGCUUGAGUGCAGGAGAGGUAAGUGGAAUUCCCAGUGUAGCGGUGAAAUGCGUAGAGAUUGGGAGGAACACCAGUGGCGAAGGCGACUUACUGGGCUGUAACUGACGCUGAGGCGCGAAAGUGUGGGGAGCAAACAGGAUUAGAUACCCUGGUAGUCCACACUGUAAACGAUGAAUGCUAGGUGUAGGGGGUAUCGACCCCUUCUGUGCCGCAGUCAACACAAUAAGCAUUCCGCCUGGGGAGUACGGCCGCAAGGUUGAAACUCAAAUGAAUUGGCGGG